RNAcentral lists this transfer RNA (70 nucleotides) under Staphylococcus aureus. RNAcentral describes it as "tRNA-Met". It matches the Rfam family "tRNA". Rfam says of the family: Transfer RNA (tRNA) molecules are approximately 80 nucleotides in length. Their secondary structure includes four short double-helical elements and three loops (D, anti-codon, and T loops). Further hydrogen bonds mediate the characteristic L-shaped molecular structure. tRNAs have two regions of fundamental functional importance: the anti-codon, which is responsible for specific mRNA codon recognition, and the 3' end, to which the tRNAs corresponding amino acid is attached (by aminoacyl-tRNA synthetases). tRNAs cope with the degeneracy of the genetic code in two manners: having more than one tRNA (with a specific anti-codon) for a particular amino acid; and 'wobble' base-pairing, i.e. permitting non-standard base-pairing at the 3rd anti-codon position. Lineage: Bacteria; Bacillati; Bacillota; Bacilli; Caryophanales; Staphylococcaceae. The record is from RNAcentral. RNAcentral also lists the same sequence under 1 other name.
GUGUAGCUCAGCUGGCUAGAGCGUACGGUUCAUACCCGUGAGGUCGGGGGUUCGAUCCCCUCCACCGCCA